GCUCCUGCGCUCCGCUCGGCCGCGGGGGCUCAGGGUCUCCGCCUAAACGCCCCGGCAGCGCCGACCCCGCCGCGAGAGUCGGGAGCGCUGGGACGCGCGGGCUCCUCCGCUACCUUUCCCUGGGUUUUCCGGGAUUCGGAGCUGCUCGGCGGCGCCGUUUCUCCUCCUCUUCCAUACCAUACUACUCAAAAAGAUGUCCCCAAGGCGUUACCAGGGCUAAAACAAGGCUCUAACCCUUACGGUGAACACACGCUUGCUUCCAAGGUCUUCGCAGGCCAGUACAGGCGGAAGGGCAAGAGAAUAUAAACUGCCCUCUUUUUAGUCUGUCUAGGUGAGAAGAAACAUCAGAAGCAAUUGAAGGACCAGGAAAUGGGUCCUCUAGAGAUGGGAAUACUGUGCUCUUUUUCAGCCUUGAAAUUGAGUCUACAAACACAUAGCUUCAGGAACUACUAGCAGCCAUCCUGAACCAGGGAAGGAGAAUUUGCUGAAAAUGAAGCCCAUUUCAAGGUUGCAGCACAGAAAAAUUGGUAUAGAAAAACUAAG
Non-coding RNA from Microcebus murinus (gray mouse lemur), 543 nucleotides. The record is from RefSeq and is a predicted model, not a curated record. Lineage: Eukaryota; Metazoa; Chordata; Mammalia; Primates; Cheirogaleidae.